Long non-coding RNA from Diospyros lotus (date-plum), 7771 nucleotides. RefSeq lists it as uncharacterized. The transcript is spliced from 4 exons. NCBI's taxonomy places the organism in Eukaryota, Viridiplantae, Streptophyta, Magnoliopsida, Ericales, Ebenaceae. The record is from RefSeq and is a predicted model, not a curated record.
GCAACAAUCCCUGCACUUUCUUCCACAUGCUGCAUGUUAAGAGGGUCUGUCCACAGUCUGUUCACCAGUUGCAGCCUCCUCUUUUGCUUUCCUUCUGGUGGGAUAUCCCAUUUAAGUUCAAACUAUUGAAUUCAAAGCAACAAAGAUACAAGCAACAAAUUAAUAUAAUAAAAAUACCUUGAUGAAACAGAGACUGCAGGCUCGUCACCCAACAGUGCCGGGCUUGCGUUGCCAAGUUCUGCCAAGUGCUGCUCCAACCAUGUCAACCUUCUAAACUCAACUUCCAUGUAUAUCUGAUCAGCUGGGUCUCCUCUAAACAGCAAAUAGAACUGGGUCCGGUGUACAAUUGAAACAUGGCACAAGUGCCACAACAUGAUGAUUUGCUUUCUUUGAGCUCCAAACAUCAGAGGCCAUGACAUGGGAGAUUGGUCCGCUAUAUCUACUGCCUCAUCAUUUGCAGCCUCAUUUGCCUCCAGCUCCAACACCUAUACCACGUGCAGAUCAAGAUGAAGCAAAUGAGAGAGUAUUUCGUGAUUGUUCGAUGUGGCUUAGAGCAGGACUCAGAGUACAUAUUAUUGCUGUUCGAGCAUUUCCUCCUAGUGAAGACUGCAAUAUUCUCGUCAGUUUUGAAUCUCUGUAAGAAUGCUAACCUCAGUUUUCUGAUCACUGUUGUCAGAGUCAAUAAGCUGCGGUUAAUAUGGCUACCUUCCUUCAUUCUACUUCCAUCUGCAUUUGUUUGAGAUGCCCGCUCACUCCCAGCAAGGUCCACAAGAUUCUGUAAAAUUCCAGAAUGCCAAAUUAUUGGAUAACUACAUUAUUUUUUUGCAAAAAAAUUCCAGAGAAAGCUGAAAUCAGAUCAACAUACCAGACUAGCCAAAAAAGAUUUCACACAGCCCAUAUUUUCCCGCAGGCUACUCUGAAUAGUCUUCAAAAAAUUAAAUAAAGGUUAAUGAAUAAAACACUUCAAUGUACUUGUGGUAAGAGUGAAAUAAGUUCACGAGAACACAAGGAAACCUCAAUGUACUUGUGGUAAGACUGAUCAGUAGAGAUCUUAAUUAUUGGAAGAUCCUAGGUAGUUUAGUUACAAAAAGAGAAUAAAACUAGGAAAGAUAUUCUUCAUCCAAUGCAUGAAAUUGCACAUAAGAAUUUAAGUUAGCAGGUAUCCCUCAGGUUUUACUAAUUUUGCUAUAAUUUGAGGAAAACCAAAACAAGAUGGGAAGACCUCCAAAUGACUUCAGUAAUAAGAGAAAGCCAUAACAAGUUAAUUUAUUGGACAUAAGACAACUUGAUCUCCAUUUUAUGACCUACAUGUAGUUGCAAGUAUGAUUUAUCUAUGCUUAUCUAUAAAUCAAUUUGAAAACCAUGCAGUCAUGUAGAUUGCCGUGGACUGACAACUAGCAUCCUACAUUUUUACUGAAAGAAUUUUAAGAGGAUAUUAUGCAGAAAAUUUCCAAUCGUUAAGGCGACAAAUUUACCUUAUAUAACUAUAAAUUUACCUUUGCUUAUGUAAAACCUUAAUUUGACAUCUUAAUUUGGUCAUGCAUAUCACCAAGGAAACUAACUAAUAGCAUGCUACAAUUUCACUGGAUGAGCACUAAUAGGAUAUUGGGUAGAAAAUUUGCCUUUUGGUACUUCCAUCAAAAUCUGUUAAAAUAUCCAAAGAUGUAGCAAGGAGGCAGCCGAGAUCUUGAUAGAGAUAGGUUGUUUUUAUUCUUUUAUCUUUUGUAUUUAUUCUUAUGUUUUAUCUUCUUAUUGUAUUUAAAUUGAUGUAAUCUAGUCCUAGAUAGAAGGUAAGUAAUCUAGUCCUAUAAAGUAGGAAUGUAAUCUAGUCCUAAAAUAUAGGAGAAUUCUUAGGAACCUCUUGUAUAAAUUUUAUUAUUGACAUCAAUAAAAUCAUAAGGAAUACCGGUUCCUUUUUUCCAACAUGGUAUCAGAGCUUGCUGAUCCAAGCCUUCUCUUCUAGUAACCAGUGCCUUCAUUGCACAAUCCUUUUUUUUAGUGCCUUCAUUGCUUGUGCCUUAAUAGCACCCGUUUUUUGGGUUCCAGCCAUCUAAACCAUUCAUCCUUCUGUUCUUCCUUCAUAACCCCAUGUCAGAAACAUCAGCAAAUCCGUCUUCUUCACCAACUAUCAUCACUGGAGAAUCAGUUCCAGUGGAUCAACCUCCUCUUGCCGGCGAAUUACCAAGUGUUCACCAAUCCUACCGGCUAGAUGGUAGGAAUUUUCUUCAAUGGUCGUAGCUGAUCAAAACCCUUCUUAAGGGCCGAGGAAAGAGCACUCACCUAACUGGGAAUCCUCCACCAAAAACUGACCCAGGCUUUAGUACAUGGGAUGUGGAAGACUCCCUCAUCAUGUCGUGGCUAUGGAGCACAAUACAACCAGAUAUCAACAAGAACUUUAUGUUCCUUAGUACUGCCUGAGAAGUUUGGGAGACUGUUUAUCAGACUUACUCAAAGGCCAAGGAUGCAUCCGUAAUCUUUGAUGUCAAAACAAAGAUCAAUGGUUUAAAGCAAGGCCAAUUAACAGUCACAGAGUACUAUAAUCUGAUCCUAGGCCUAUGGUUAGAGCUUGAUCAAUACCAAUCUAUAAAGAUGGUGUGCCAAGCAGAUAUCGCUACCCUCAAUCAGAUUCUUGAAAGAGACCGGAUAGAAGAGUUCCUAGUAGGCUUAAAUCCCAAGUUCGAUCAGGUACGGGUUCAAAUUCUUGGUAAGGAUAAAUUACCUAGCCUAAAUGAGGUGUUUUCUAUUGUUAGAAGCGAAGAAAAUAAGAGAGGAGCCAUGCUUGGUGGAUCUAAUAUGGAAGGAUUAGCACUCAUUUCCAGCAACAAAUCAUGGAAGCAGUCAACAAACCGGAAUAAGCCGAACGAGAAGGGCAGUGGUGCACCUUCUGUAACAAGCUGAGGCACACUAAGGAGACCUGCUUCAAGUUGCAUGGGAAGGAAGCAGUCCUCAACAGACUUGGUGGAUUCAAGAAUAUAAGGACUCAAGGUCCUCCACAAAACUACCCUCAAAACUACCUUUCAAACAAAGAACAAGAGGGAGAAGCAGAAAAGGAAGAAAGGCCGGGUGCCGGAAUUGGUACUGGUGCUGGAAUGGACUUCAACCAACUCAAUAAAGAGGAGAUUAAUAAGCUGAAGGAGUUCCUAAAGACCAUUCAAGAUGGAGGAGCAUCAUGCUCUAUGGCUCAACAAGGUAAACAAAUCUGUUUUACUCCUUUUUUAGCCUCCAAAACUGGUAGGAAUAAAACAUGGAUCUUGGAUUCAGGGGCUACUAACCAUAUGACACCCAAUUUCCAGUUUUUUGAUACUUAUGAGCCUUUUACAUCAUCCAAACAAAUCACUAUUGCCAAUGGGACCACAAUUCCCAUUAAAGGAAAAGGAAAAGUUAACUUUGGUCCAAAUUUGUCAAUAAAUCCGGUACUUUAUGUACCAGAUUUAACCCUCAGCCUUAUCUCCAUGAAACAACUCACUCAAGACCUCAAUUGCAAUGCUGUUUUCUCUCCAUAUGUGUGUAAAUUUCAGGACAUGGACACGGGAAGGACGAUUGGUGUGGCUAAAAAGCAACAUGGGCUGUAUAUCUUACAAGGGAGGAGCACUAAGCCUAAAGAUCAGCUGCAGGCAGCCUCACUCAACCCAGAAAACAGCCUCUGACCGAGCUGCCAUUUGGCUUCAUCAUCUUCGCCUAGGUCAUCCUCCUUUUAGUUUAGCGAAGGAAAUGUUUCCUACUUUAUUUAAAACUCUUGAUCCUAGUAUUUUUCAAUGUGAUGUGUGUGUUAUGGCCAAACAUCAUAGAACCUCUUAUUCAAUUAGCAAUAAACUAUCAUCUAGACCUUUUGCUUUGAUUCAUUCAGAUGUUUGGGGUCCUUUAAGAAUUUCAAAUCAGUCGGGGGCCAAGUGGUUCUUCUCAUUCAUAGAUGAUUGCACUAGAAUGUGUUGGGUUUUUUUAUUAAAGGAUAAGGCUAGUAUUGGGACUGUUCUCCCUUAUUUUUGCAAAAUGAUUCACACACAAUUUGGAACUCAAAUUCAAAAAUUUAGGACAGAUAAUGCAAGGGAUUAUUUCAAUGCUCACUUACAUCUCUUCUUCCAAAAUGAAGGAAUUGUCCAUGAAUCUUCAUGCAUCGACACUCCACAACAAAAUGGAGUGGCCGAGAGGAAGAUGAGGCAUCUUCUUAAUGUCACUUGAACCGUUCUUCAUUAUUAUCAUAAUAUUCCUAAAUAUCUAUGGGGGGAGGCAGUCUUGACAGCCACUUAUAUCAUUAAUAGGGUCGCAUCCAAGAUUCUUAACAAUCAAAGUCCUUUCCAAAGUCUAACCAAGUUCUUCCCAGACCUAAAACUGCAUUCUCCAUUGCCUCUCAAAGUUUUUGGAUGUGUAUGUUUUGUUCACAUACCCAAGGUCCACCAAGAUAAGCUAGAUCCUAGAGCAAAAAGAUGUGUCUUCAUAAGGUAUUCUCCAACCCAAAAAGGAUACAAGUGUUAUGAUCCUAUCUCUCGGAAAGUCUAUAUUUCUAAGGAUGUCACCUUCAUUGAGUGUCCCAAUCCUUUUUUGAUUCUCAACCUAAGGGGGAGCAUACUCAACCGGAAACUAUGGAUAAUUUCUUUCCAUAUUUUUUUCCAGAACCCCCUACCUCAACCAGUGAUUCUGUCCACCAUUUCCCUAAGCCUUUCCCAUCAAAUAACACUGAACCAACAAACCAGCAGCUGAUUUCUACCAAUCGAUACAAAGGCUCACCCUAUGUGUACAAGAAACGACAGCCUAAUGAUAAUCUACAGCUUACACCAAUUGCAGCCCCUAAGUCAAGAGUGGAAGAACACAUAUCUGAAGAGCAAAAUACAAGCCAAAUAGAAUCAGAAUUCCUACAUAUGGACCUUCCUAUUGCCAUCUGGAAAGGGGUCCGAACAUGCACCAAACAUCCCGUAGCAAAUUUCCUAUCCUAUCAUCGCCUCUCCCCUAUCUACAAAAGCUUCCUAACAACCCUAGAUGCUAGUGUUAUUCCAAAAUCAGUGGAGGAGGCACUAAAGGGUCCAAAUUGGAAAGAAGCCAUGUUAGAAGAGACGAGGGCCUCGCACAAGAAUCAAACUUGGGAGGAAGUGACUCAACCCAAGGGAAUUAAACCAGUGGGCUGCAGAUGGGUCUUUAAUUUAAAAUACAAAGCUGAUGGUACUCUUGAGAGAGACAAGGCAAGGCUAGUGGCCAAGGGUUACACUCAAUCCUAUGGGAUUGAUUAUCUUGAGACUUUUGCCCCAGUAGCAAAGAUGACAACAGUUCGAGUUCUCAUAUCAUUAGCAACAAAUUUAGGGUGGAAAAACUACAACAACUAGAUGUUAAAAAUGCAUUCUUGCAUGGGGAUUUAGAGGAAGAAGUAUUCAUGGAAUUAUCUCCUAGAUUUUCUCAUAACAAAGAAGGGCAAGUGUGUAGAUUGAAGAAGGCAUUAUAUGGGCUUAAACAGUCUCCACCGGCAUGGUUUGGGCGAUUUUCUAUAGUAAUGCAUAAAAUAUGAUACCAGCGAAGCCGAGGGGACCACACCCUCUUCAUCAAACACACAAAAGAUAAGAUAACUGCUCUAUUAGUUUAUGUUGAUGACAUUGUUGUGACAGGAAAUGAUGAAGCUGAGCAAGAAGGCCUAAAACAAAAUCUUGCUAAGGAAUUUGAGAUUAAAGACCUUGGAAGACUAAAGUAUUUCUUAGGCAUUGAGGUGGCCUAUUCUCAAAAGGGAAUCUACCUAUCUCAGUGUAAGUACACUCUUGACUUACUGACUGAGACUGGACUGCUAGGAGGAAAGGGAGCUCAAGUUCCAGUAGAUCCAAACAUCAAGCUACGAGAAAAUUACUCUGGAGAAGCAAUAGAUAAAGGGCAGUUCCAAAGGUUGGUAGGGAAAUUGAUAUAUCUCUCACAUACUAGGCCGGACAUAGUAUUUGGAGUAAGCCUAGUAAGUCAAUUCAUGCAUAGCCCCAAUGAGGAACACAUGCAAGCAGUAAGGAAAAUUCUUCAUUAUUUAAAAGCUACACCAGGCAAAGGCAUUCUUUUUGCACCAGGAGCUAUUCUAAAAGUUCAAAGGUACACGAAUGCUGAUUAUGAAGGCUCUUUAGUUGAUAGACGUUCCACAACUAGGUACUGCAUGUUCCUAGGAGGAAAUUUGGUAUCUUGGAGGAGUAAGAAACAAGGAGUAGUAGCACGGUCAAGUACUGAGGCUGAAUUCAGAGCUAUGGCUCUUGGUGUGUGUGAACUCUUGUGGCUGAAAAUUAUCCUAGAAGAUUUGAAGAUUCAAAUACAAUAUCCUCUUGAGCUUCUAUCUGACAAUCAAUCAGCAAUCAAUAUUGCUCAUAAUCCGAUACAACACGACCGAACCAAGCACAUUGAGAUUGACAAGCAUUUCAUUAAAGAAAAACUAGAAUCCAGGCUGCUGCAAUGUUUCAACUAAUCAACAGGUGGCAGAUCUUCUCACUAAAGGAUUGCCUAUUAGGAAAUUUGAGGAACUAGUAAGCAAGCUAGGAAUGGAAGACAUCCACACACUAGCUUGAGGGGAAGUGUUAAAAUAUCUGAAGAUAAACAGCAAGGAGGCAGCCGAGAUCUUGAUAGAGAUAGAUUGUUUUUAUUCUUUUAUCUUUUGUAUUUAUUCUUAUGUUUUAUCUUCUUAUUGUAUUUAAAUUGAUGUAAUCUAGUCCUAGAUAGAAGGUAAAUAAUCUAGUCCUAUAAAGUAGGAAUAUAAUCUAAUCCUAAAAAAUAGGCGAAUUCUUAGGAACCACUUGUAUAAAUUUUAUUAUUGACAUCAAUAAAAUCAUAAGGAAUACCGGUUCCUUUUUCCCAACAGAAUCAUAAUAAUGUAAUCUCAGGACAGUAUGCCAAUGCAUUUCAAGCACUCAUAAGAAAAUAAUUUAAAAAAAAAAAACACUAUUCAGAUAUAGCUAUUUGACUAGAUUUAAUCAAUAACAGUGGUUGAGCAACAAAGAGACAGUGUAUGGAAGAGAAAGAAUAGCUAAGAUGGUGAUGGUUAGGCCUUUCAAGUUUGCAUCUUGAUUCUUUGAGCUCUGCUUCUUUGCUUAUGGAAGAAAUUCUUGAACUAAUAAGAUUCUAAAACUUGUCACAUGAUGCAGAAGAAGGUAAGUUUCAUUAAUUAGUGUUAGACAAAACAUCAUUUUUGGAAUUAACUGAUUAAUGAUGUCUAAACUGCCGAGCAUAGAAAAUUUCCAAAUUUAAUCAUUAAAAGGCGGAUAUUAUUGAAUAUGAAAAAGCUGUAUAGCCACUUCUUAAAUAAGGGAUAGGCAAUCAUAUCUCAAGUUAAUAAUUGAAAGAUUAGCACACUAAGAAGAAUGUAUAAGAAACUCCAGUAUACUGGAAAGAGACAACUGCUAAUAAAGCCAGGACAACACUGACAGCAUAAAGGAAAAUAAUGAGAAUUUAAGGCUACUGAAAGGGAGUGGAAAAAGUUAAAAAGUAGCAUGAUGAAUAGGACCUCCAAUCGUAUGAUAUUCUAUUAACUAACUAAUCGAAAGGGAGUAUCAAAUGCAUAGGGCUACCGCUUUGCAAGGGUCAGGGGAGGAUUGUAAUUGUAUGCAGCCUUCCCCUUGCAUUUUUUGCAAAGAGGCUGUUUCCACAACUCACACUUUUGACCUUCUAGUGACAAAUGAGCAACCUUAUUGAGUAACUGAUCUAAUUGUAUGAUAUAUGGCUUGCUUUAUUAUCGCAGUCAGAAAAGCCUAUUCCCUUUAAUGACCAAUUGCUGGAACUCAUUGAAGAAUGGAAAACGAGCAAUCUAGUGUUAACAAAGGUAAUAACU